AUUGAACGCUGGCGGCAGGCCUUACACAUGCAAGUCGAACGAGUGGCGGACGGGUGAGUAAUGUCUGGGAAACUGCCUGAUGGAGGGGGAUAACUACUGGAAACGGUAGCUAAUACCGCAUACCAUCAGAUGUGCCCAGAUGGGAUUAGCUUGUUGGUGGGGUAAAGGCUCACCAAGGCGACGAUCCCUAGCUGGUUUGAGAGGAUGACCAGACACACUGGCACUGAGACACGGUCCAGACUCCUACGGGAGGCAGCAGGGGGGAAUAUUGCACAAUGGGGGAAAGCCUGAUGCAGCCAUGCCGCGUGUAUGAAGAAGGCCUUCGGGUUGUAAAGUACUUUUAGCGGGGAGGCGUUACCCGCAGAAUAAGCACCGGCUAACUCCGUGCCAGCCGCCGCGGUAAUAC
This 406-nucleotide ribosomal RNA is filed under the name uncultured bacterium. RNAcentral describes it as "partial 16S ribosomal RNA". It matches the Rfam family "Bacterial small subunit ribosomal RNA", at positions 30 to 526 of the family's 1533-position model. The record is from RNAcentral.